CGAGGGGCAGCGGGGAGGUAGCAAUACUUCCGCCGGCGACCGGCGCACGGGUGAGUAACACGUAUGGAACCUGCCCGUAGCAGGGGGAUAAGCGGAAGAAAUUCCGUCUAAUACCGCGUAAUAACUCCGAGAGGCAUCUCUUGGGGUUUAAAGGGUAACACCGGCUACGGAUGGCCAUGCGGCGCAUUAGCUAGUUGGCGGGGUAACGGCCCACCAAGGCGACGAUGCGAGGGGUUCUGAGAGGAAGGUCCCCCACACUGGUACUGAGACACGGACCAGACUCCUACGGGAGGCAGCAGUGAGGAAUAUUGGUCAAUGGGCGCGAGCCUGAACCAGCCAAGUCGCGUGAGGGAAGACGGUCCUAUGGAUUGUAAACCUCUUUUGUCGGGGAGCAAAAGACGUCACGUGUGGCGUUCCGAGAGUACCCGAAGAAAAAGCAUCGGCUAACUCCGUGCCAGCAGCCGCGGUAAUACGGAGGAUGCGAGCGUUAUCCGGAUUUAUUGGGUUUAAAGGGUGCGCAGGCGGAAGAUCAAGUCAGCGGUAAAAUUGAGAGGCUCAACCUCUUCGAGCCGUUGAAACUGGUUUUCUUGAGUGAGCGAGAAGUAUGCGGAAUGCGUGGUAUAGCGGUGAAAUGCAUAGAUAUCACGCAGAACUCCGAUUGCGAAGGCAGCAUACCGGCGCUCAACUGACGCUCAUGCACGAAAGCGUGGGUAUCGAACAGGAUUAGAUACCCUGGUAGUCCACGCAGUAAACGAUGAAUACUAACUGUC
Molecule: ribosomal RNA, 770 nt
Filed under: uncultured bacterium
Lineage: Bacteria
Description: bacterial SSU rRNA
Rfam family: Bacterial small subunit ribosomal RNA
Source: RNAcentral